UACGAAGGGGGCUAGCGUUGUUCGGAAUUACUGGGCGUAAAGCGCACGUAGGCGGACAUUUAAGUCAGGGGUGAAAUCCCAGAGCUCAACUCUGGAACUGCCUUUGAUACUGGGUGUCUUGAGUAUGGAAGAGGUGAGUGGAAUUCCGAGUGUAGAGGUGAAAUUCGUAGAUAUUCGGAGGAACACCCGUGGCGAAGGCGGCCCCCUGGGCCGUACCUGACGCUGAGGCGCGAAGGCUAGGGGAGCGAACGGG
RNAcentral lists this ribosomal RNA (253 nucleotides) under uncultured bacterium. Its description in RNAcentral is "partial 16S ribosomal RNA". It matches the Rfam family "Bacterial small subunit ribosomal RNA", at positions 524 to 776 of the family's 1533-position model. The record is from RNAcentral.